Molecule: long non-coding RNA, 367 nt
Filed under: Manacus vitellinus (golden-collared manakin)
Lineage: Eukaryota; Metazoa; Chordata; Aves; Passeriformes; Pipridae
Description: lncRNA (ENSMVIG00005006048.1)
Source: RNAcentral
CUAGAAAUGAUUACAGUACUUAGCAGUGAUCACCUUGAGGAUAUGACAAAAAGUAGUAACUUUCCUCUUCUUCAUCAGGGGAUGCUCAUUGCUAACAAGGGUUGCAUUUGCCCUCUUGGCCAUUUUGUCCUGCUGUGAGAUCAUGAUCUGCUCAGAAUCCUCUCCCACAGCUAGCUUCUUUUCCAGAUGAUUACUUCGCAUGCACAGAAGCCAUGGCCUGGAAGUGACCAAGUGGUUCUUGGCAUCCAGGUAGGACCUUGUUUUUCUUAUUUGCUGGAUCAGCCAUUUGGGAGUGAAGGGCCUGCUGAUUUCAGGAUAUAUGUCAGCUGUUGGAGAUUAUGCAAAAGUCGCAACUCAUUAAAACCCA